RNAcentral lists this ribosomal RNA (253 nucleotides) under uncultured bacterium. RNAcentral's name for it is "partial 16S ribosomal RNA". It matches the Rfam family "Bacterial small subunit ribosomal RNA", at positions 524 to 776 of the family's 1533-position model. The record is from RNAcentral.
UACGUAGGGGGCAAGCGUUGUCCGGAUUUAUUGGGCGUAAAGAGCGUGUAGGCGGCCAGACAGGUCCGUUGUGAAAACUCGAGGCUCAACCUCGAGAUGUCGAUGGAAACCGUCUGGCUAGAGUCCGGAAGAGGAGAGUGGAAUUCCUGGUGUAGCGGUGAAAUGCGCAGAUAUCAGGAAGAACACCCGUGGCGAAGGCGGCUCUCUGGGACGGUACCGACGCUGAGACGCGAAAGCGUGGGGAGCGAACAGG